This 230-nucleotide ribosomal RNA is filed under the name uncultured bacterium. RNAcentral describes it as "partial 16S ribosomal RNA". It matches the Rfam family "Bacterial small subunit ribosomal RNA", at positions 568 to 796 of the family's 1533-position model. The record is from RNAcentral.
CUCGUAGGCGGUUUGGUAAGUCGGGUGUGAAAACUCUGGGCUCAACCCAGAGAGGCCACUCGAUACUGCUAUGACUAGAGUACGGUAGGGGAGCGGGGAAUUCCUGGUGUAGCGGUGAAAUGCGCAGAUAUCAGGAGGAACACCAGCGGCGAAGGCGCCGCUCUGGGCCGUAACUGACGCUGAGGAGCGAAAGCAUGGGUAGCAAACAGGAUUAGAUACCCUGGUAGUCC